Non-coding RNA from Paramuricea clavata, 999 nucleotides. The record is from the annotation of a GenBank genome assembly. NCBI's taxonomy places the organism in Eukaryota, Metazoa, Cnidaria, Anthozoa, Malacalcyonacea, Plexauridae.
AGGUACCAAGCUGCUUUACCUAUUUGUGCGAGAGACACUGAGUAUUCGUUUCAAUGAUGGUGAAGAAACAUUGGAUACCAGCUUACAGUCUAUAUACGAUGCUACGAAAGAUGGUCGUCUGGAUGACAUAGUACUAGCACUGGCAUAUCUUACUAAAGACUAUUUAAUUGAACAGGAGAGUGUCAUGUGAUUUAAUCUAAUGUUUUCACAUUGACUCAAGUUAGCAUUUUAACACUAUAUUUACAAAUGUAUUUAAUUUUAGAAACGUUAUAUGUAGUUAUAUCCACCUUGUAUGUAGUUGGUAAAAGUGUUGCCUAAAGAUGGGGCUAAAUCUGUUCGGCGGAUGUGCGGUUUGUUUAAAUUCUGAGCGCACUAUAUUCAUAAAAUAUGAUGUACUGUACUUAGUUAAUAUCUAACAUCGUUCUGGUUCGCUAUGCUUUUAUUUUAAAUGAAUAUAGAUUAGAGUUUCAAUUUAGAAGAUGCCGAAACAACGCGAAAUUUGGAUAUUCUUUGCAUCAGAGGGCCCUCACAUAGCACAUGCGCAGAACAGCCUUGACCCAGUCUUUAAUUAAGAGGUUGAAAAUGUUUUUAAUCAUAAGCGUUUCUGAACAGCAGAUUGAGGUGAACGAAGAAAUGUUGACAAUUGAAGCAAAAGAGAACUGAAGUUUAUCUCUCAAGUUUAUUUAUUUUCCACUAAAUACAGUACAAUUCUAGUACAUAUAAUGAGAAUAAUUAUUAACAUUAUUUUAUCACACUGAUAACUGUCAGUUGACCAUCAUAGCUGCUGCACGUUUGUGUUGUAUGUAAAGUUGAAGAAAUGGAAAAUUGCUGUAAUCUGCAACAAAAGUUGGUUAUUUUCAACCUAUGGUUUCAACGCAUACAGUAUUAGUCCACAUUGUGCACGCAUUCUUGAAACUUAUUCGAGAACAAAUUGGAUGAUAAACCCGUGUUUAAAUGAGCUUUUGUUGAAAGUUACAGCAAUUUCGUCUUUACUUGAAA